This 253-nucleotide ribosomal RNA is filed under the name uncultured bacterium. RNAcentral describes it as "partial 16S ribosomal RNA". It matches the Rfam family "Bacterial small subunit ribosomal RNA", at positions 524 to 776 of the family's 1533-position model. The record is from RNAcentral.
UACGGAGGGUGCAAGCGUUAUCCGGAUUCACUGGGUUUAAAGCGUGCGCAGGCGGUUUUGUAAGUCUGUCGUGAAAGCCCCGGGCUUAACCUGGGAAUUGCGAUGGAGACUGCAAGGCUUGAAUCUGGCAGAGGGGGGUAGAAUUCCACGUGUAGCAGUGAAAUGCGUAGAGAUGUGGAGGAACACCGAUGGCGAAGGCAGCCCCCUGGGUCAAGAUUGACGCUCAUGCACGAAAGCGUGGGGAGCAAACAGG